AAGCAAUAGUCAAUAAGCGGAGGAAAAGAAACCAACAGGGACUCGGCCUUAGUAACGGCGAGUGAAGCGGCAACAGCUCAAAUUUAAAUCUGCCCCCCGGCCGAGUUGUAAUUUGUAGAGGAACGUUCGGCUUCGUCAAGGUCCGAGUCUUCUGGAAGGAAGCGCCGAUGAGGGUGAGAGCCCCGUACGACCGACGACCCCGCCAUGUGAACGUCCUUCGAAGAGUCGAGUUGUUUGGGAAUGCAGCUCCAAGCGGGUGGUAAAUUCCAUCUAAAGCUAAAUAUUGGCCAGAGACCGAUAGCGAACAAGUAGAGUGAUCGAAAGAUGAAAAGCACUUUGGAAAGAGAGUGAAACAGUACGUGAAAUUGUUGAAAGGGAAGCGCUUGCGACCAGACUUGACCGUUUGGUUCAGGAGUCCUUCUGGACUCUGUACUUCCAUUCGGUCGGGCCAACAUCAGUUCGAGCGGUCGGACAAAGGCCCUGGGAACGUGGCUCCUUCGGAGUGUUAUAGCCCGGGGUGCAAUACGGCCAGUUCGGACUGAGGCAUGCCUAUGAAGGAUGUUGGCGUAAUGGUUGUCAGCGGCCCGUCUUGAAACACGGACCAAGGAGUCUAACGUCCAUGCGAGUGUUUGGGUGGAAAACCCGCACGCGAAAUGAAAGUGAACGUUGGUGGGAGCUUCGGCGCACCAUCGACCGAUCCUGAAGUUUUCGGAAGGAUUUGAGUAUGAGCAUGGGCGUUGGGACCCGAAAGAUGAUGAACUAUGCGUGAAUAGGGCGAAGCCAGAGGAAACUCUGGUGGAGGCUCGCAGCGGUUCUGACGUGCAAAUCGAUCGUCAAAUUUGCGUAUAGGGGCGAAAGACUAAUCGAAUCAUCUAGUAGCUGGUUCCUGCCGAAGUUUCCCUCAGGAUAGCAGUAACGAAUCUCAGUUUUAUGAGGUAAAGCGAAUGAUUAGAGGCCUGGGGGCUGAAACAGCCUUCACCUAUUCUCAAACUUUAAAUAUGUAAGAAGUCCUUGUCACUUGAUUGGACGUGGACAUUCGAAUGUGCGUUACUAGUGGGCCAUUUUUGGUAAGCAGAACUGGCGAUGCGGGAUGAACCGAACGCGUGGUUAAGGUGCCGGAAUGUUCGCUCAUCAGACACCACAAAAAGUGUUAGUGCAUCCAGACAGCAGGACGGUGGCCAUGGAAGUCGGAAUCCGCUAAGGAGUGUGUAACAACUCACCUGCCGAAUGCACUAGCCUUGAAAAUGGAUGGCG
RNAcentral lists this ribosomal RNA (1254 nucleotides) under Dactylaria sp. MF 961. RNAcentral's name for it is "LSU rRNA". It matches the Rfam family "Eukaryotic large subunit ribosomal RNA", at positions 36 to 1327 of the family's 3401-position model. The record is from RNAcentral. Lineage: Eukaryota; Fungi; Ascomycota; Leotiomycetes; Helotiales.